ACUUAGCUAGCCUCGCAAGAGGAAGGAUGUGUCCACCUUCUCAGUUACCACUAAUAGCAUCCUCUGUCUUUGCUUGAUGUAGAAUCUUUUAGAUCAUGACUAAAGCCUGGACAAGCUUCUCUGGAACCAAUGACAGGGAGUCCUUCAAAGUGAGUGCUCUGGCCCAUGGUGGGAUUUGAUUUAUCUUACCGAAUCAGCUUGUCACAAGUCUAAAUUAUUCAUUUCUUGGCCAGAGUGACAAGCCAUAGAACACUUGUUUGCAGCCACCUGAUUUCUACUGGACUCACAGCAUCAAAGGAGCAAAGAAACAUUUGUCCUGAUUGAAAGCUGAGUCACAUAGAGAGGGGUCGAAGGACUGAAUGGAAAUGAAGAGGUAAACAUGAAAAUGAAAAUGUUGAGAAGGCUGGUAUUGGAUGCCUGGAGCUCACGUGCUGACUGCAAGCAGAAUGGAAGAUAUUGAGGACGUUACUGGGGAGAGAAGAUAAUGGAGAAGGUGGAAAAGCUCCAGGGAAAUAAGACUUGAUUUCAGGACUCCUCUGGUGCUGAGAGUUGAUUGGCUACAGUCAGUCUACAGCCUUGCUUUGCGGGUGGUGGAGAGAAUAUCAAGACCUAGGCUCCCCUGAUCUCCCUGCAUCCCCGUCGUUUUUGGCAAUGUCGCUAAUCGGCCCAGCAGCCUGAAUCCACACGUCCCAGCGUCCAGGUUCUGCAAGGUGCAGCUGGUCUCGGGCCCUGUCUCAGAAUACAGAAGUAAUCAGAAUUUAUUCACGUGGCUGACUGAGAGUUUUGACACCAAAGGGCAAUCCUGUCUGAUUGAUACCACUCAAACGGCAAUAUUGUUUGAAGAAAUGUAGUUAGAGAGAUGGCAAUUUAAAGGCUGUAAGAAGUUACAGGAAAAAGGUUUGCGAAUAGAGACUUUAAAUUACUCCUGUACCCUUGGCCCCAAGGAAGGCUCUCCAGACAGAAAGUUGCCUGCAAGUCCUGGUGCUAGAUUUUGAGUAUGACACUGCUCUUCACUACUCUGUCCCAAGAAAUCCAGCAUUGCCCAUGGCAUACCUUCUGAAGAAAGACUUUGGGGUAAAGAAACUACAAAAAUGUAGGUGGGGGAGUAUUAAGAUUUGUAAUAGUCACUUAAGAAUCCUCAACAUGUUUUUUUCAUUGGCUAAAACCAAAACAAGGUAAUACACGACACCUGUGAUCACGCUAAAACUAAAAGUCACAGGUGCCCCACUGUUAAAGCAAGAGGUCACGCAGCAGGGGCGUUCCUGUGGGUGCGCGGCCUGGGAGACUAACAGAGAAGAAUCACCCAGGAGGUAAAACAGCACAGCAUUCAAAGAGCAAGAGGCACACAAGUCCAGGUGGAAACUGCCAGUGAAACAGUCUUCUCAGAAUGCCCGGAUUUUAGAGAGCACAACUGGGAAGUUACUGUGAGUUGGAGACCUCAUCAGCCUCCUUCCUUGUCUCUGCCCUUUCUGACCUUCUUGCAUCAGCCAUCCGUGCCACACUGAGUGCUGGGCCUGGGGGGAUAAGAUGGGGAAUAUACGCACCCAGUUUCUGUCCUUAGGGGGCUUAGAGAAGAAUGAGGAUGAGAGAUAAACCCAAGUAAAUAGCAUACAAAUAGCAUAAUUGCCAACUGUGAUAAAGCACUGUGAAGAAAGCAAUUAAAGUUCUGAUUGGAAGGUAACAGGAGUGUAAACUGCCUUUCCUAGGGUGGUCAGGAAGUGUUUUGGAUGGACUAACAUAUAAGCAGAGAUCUGUAAGGAGCAGGGAGGAUUUUUUUUUUUUUUUGAGACGGAGUUUCGCUCUUGUUACCCAGGCUGGAGUGCAACGGCGCGAUCUCGGCUCACCGCAACCUCCGCCUCCUGGGUUCAGGCAAUUCUCCUGCCUCAGCCUCCUGAGUAGCUGGGAUUACAGGCACGCGUCACCGUGCCCAACUAAUUUUUUUGUAUUUUUAGUAGAGACGGGGGAGGAUUUUAAAGUUUGCAGCGGGUAGAGAGGUUGGGGAAGUACUGAAAGAAAGCAGUGUGGUUGGAGAACGGAACACAACUGCAACAAGGAAACAAAAUGGAAUCAAAGACAAGAGAAGGUUUGCCGUCAGACGUGGUGACGAGUUCAGUUUGAUCCCUCACCCUCUAUCUUCAUGAUCUCUUCAGACCUCCUCGACUUCCCUUGGAAAGCCCUGGCCUCUUUGAAUUACAGGUUCUCAGUGCUCCAGGUGCAAUUCUCGCUGCCACCAAUUAAUCGUGUGAUUCAUGGUGACCUUGAGGGAAACAACCUUCCUCAUUAAUCUUGGGAUCCCUGGUAUUUGUCAUAUGGCCCAGCAUGUAGGAAAGGAAGCUAAUUUUCGGCUCUCUGGUGUCUUGGAUCACCCUGAGGAAGAAACUAGAAGAGAAGUUGUAGAGGAUGGUAGUCACAGCAAAUAUCUCUCCUGGAAGAGGACCUGCAAACUGUGAUGGUGGGUGUUCGUCAGGAUCCUAGGGAGGAACAGGACUAAUAGGAUAUAUGUAUAUAUUCAAGGGAGUUUAUUAAGGAGAACUGACUUAUGUGAUCACAAGGUAAGGUCCCACAAUAGGCUGUCUACAAGCUGAAGAGCAAGGAAGCCUGUGGUGGAUUGGUCUGAAUCCCAACACUUCAAAAGUAGGGAAGCCAACAGUGCAGCCUUCAGUCUGUGGCCAAAGGCCGAACAGCUCUUGGCAAACCCCUGGUGUAAGUCCAAGAUUCCAAAAGCUGAAGAACUUGGAGUCUGGUGUUCGAGGGCAGGAAGCAUCCAGCAUGGGAGAAAGAUUACGGCCAGAAGACUCAGCAGGUCUGCUCUUCCGUCUUCUCCUGCCUGCUUUAUUCCAGCCUGGCUGGCAGCUGAUUAGAUGAUGUCUACCCAGAUGGAGGGUGGGUCUGCUGCUCGCAGUCCACUGACUCAAAUGUUAAUCUGCAUGGCAGCAUCCUCACGGGCACACCCAGGAACAAUACUUCAAAUCCUUCAGUCCAAUCAAGUUGACACUCAGUAUUAACCAUCACAGUGGGGGAGGGGCCACAGCUGCAAAACCUGCCGCGGAGAUCUACCAGCUCCUGAAGCUCCUGGUCACAGCCAGCAGAAGGCAUUUAGGGGUCAACUGAACACUGCCUCUAGAUCUGCCAGCAGCAGGACUUUGGCAUGCUUUUUUGUGAUAGUAAAAUUUUUGCUGUAAUUGAAACUGCUAUAGAAAAAGCAGGCCUUGGGACUCAAUUGUGCUGCAAUGAAAGAUCAUAAUUUUAAAAAACUCAAGUCUAAUAGAAACGAAGUAGGAGUGUAGGAUCUCACAAAAGCUCUAAUUUUGCAUAUAAAUAAGAUAGCAAAGCAGUUCUCUACAAAAAUACUUUCAUGCUAAUAAAAGAGAUUGUUUUACAAGGCAAAGAUUGCCAGUGACACAUUAAAAAUGAAGAAAUUAAAAAAUUUAUCAUAUGUCCAUUUUAUAGUUUCCAGGAUAGAGCCUAGAACCAUUCCUGACAGAAAGCAGGCACUCAAGAAAUAUCUUGUGAAUGAAUGAAUGUGUAAUGUUCUGGGCUUGGGAAGUAGUGCUCAUAAUAUUUACUUGGCUUAAAAUUGUCUUAAAAAAUUGUUAUGUACAAAGAUUAGGUGUUAGAAGCAAAGAAGAAAAGUAUUCCACCAUUUCCCCCAAUUUUAGCAUUCUUCAGACCAGGAUAAAGAACACUUUCACUAAAAAAUCCAUAAAGCAAAUAGAUUCUGAAUACUUGAUCUGGCAAAACUAUCACAAACGUAUUGAAGGCAUUAUAGCCAGAGAAAUAAAAACAUUUACUAGUUAUUUAGUGUUUUGGGUUCAUGGGAGAGUGUGGAUUCUAUUUGCUAAAUAGCUUCAUUUGAUUUUAAAAUGAAACUAUCACAGCAGAGUGGUUUCUACAGCUCUGUUGUUCUUCCCUGUAACUUGUCCUCUUUUGAGUUUCAUAGCCUUUUUGCUGUUGGCAAUGUCAGUGAGGAAUCUAUUGCCCACUCUUCCAGUGGGUCAGGACUAAACCAGGGAGGAAUUAUGUGUAUUAGCAGCUACAGGAGUUUGGUGUUUAAGGUUAUCACUCUAAAGUCAUGAUUCACACACAAAGAAUCAGUUUCAUGUGGUGUUUGGGGCUGUCAGGUGGGCCUGGUUAACCAGCUUCCCGAGGGGUGACUUUUCCCUGUUUGGUCUGAUUUGCAUCAAAGAUAAGAGUCAGGUACCAUCUGGUGUUCAGGCAGUUUCUUCUAGUAGUGCUCUUAUUGUGGCAUGGAUCAGAUGACCCCCUGAAGGGGAGGUUUUCCUCUGGGUACCAUUUUCAGAGUUUGGGGGCCUUUCCCCCUUUUUUAUACCUGUAUUCUGUCUGGGCCGGUUACCAGGUAUUUAUUUCAUAAAGGGAGUUUAAGCUUCUUGCAAGGGUAAGCUUUGCUUUAAGGUUCAUGAAAGUUGCAACUGUACUGAGGUGGUCUUGUCUCAGGGCAACCUGUUGUCAUAGAGACUGGGUAAUCUUUGGGCCAGAGUUGGAACUCCCCAGGCUAGGUUACAUCAUACUGCAAAAUGACACAUAGGAUAGGCCCUGUGAGAUGUAUGAGUGGACCCUAUGGCUAUCGUUAAUCUUUUAACCAUGGUAUGUCUCUUGUAGUAUACUACGUUUUGGAUGAGGAAUCAAACUGUGGACGGCUCAGGCUGGAAAUACUGUGUUGCUUUUAAGGACUGGGUCUUAUAGCAACAUCCAGCAAAGCCAAAGGGCUGUGCAGAAAGGUUUGGUUUGACAGGCGAGUGAACAUAGGCUCCUUUUAGCAGGCUCAACUUGAAGCUGCUAAAGUCUGAUUGAAAGAGAAAAUACCAAAGGGCUAAGGUAGGAGAAUUUUCUCCCCUCAGUGUUUGGGGGAGAAAACUACUAGUGCCCUCCAGCAUAGUGAAUAGUGGAAUUGCUUUUUAAAAAUAGAAUUUGUAGUUAUUAUACAAAAUUUUGAAAAUACAUUGUCAUAGACAGUGCACUGGGAUUCUUCUCCUGGGAAGGAAUGCUUCUACUUAGGUGAGGGAUGUACCUGGGAUUACAGACUGAAGGUACAAAAUAAGAAUAAACCUUUAUCUGGUGGUUUCUUUAUAUCUCCUCCAGUGAAUUCUGACUUUCGAUCAGAAAGAGAGGUUGGAUUUUCUUGCCUUACAGCUUCCGGGGAGACAUGCUGUGGGAGUCUCACUGCUUCGAAAUAAUUCGUGGAUGUUUUGUGAAACCUUUUGACCCGGCUGGGAGCCUGGGGCUUUUGAGCAUUCAAGAAUAAUAGGCAGCAUUGAAAAGGAGUGGAUAGAAUGUUUUAUUAACUGUUGCUAUUUUUAUUAACUGGAGUCAGGGGAAUAUCAGAAAGGAUCAAAAUUUAGGAAUUCUUUGAAAAAGCCUUUAUUUUACAUGAAUUUUAUUUUACAUUGCCCCAGUGCUUUACUCCAUGGUAUAACAGAUGCCCUAACAAAUGAGAGGGCUAAGAUGAGGCUUUGAAAUUUGUAUUUAUUGUUAAAAGUGAGAGGGAUAUGAAGAGGGAGAGAAAGAGGUGAAGAGGUAAUGGUAACUUCUUUGAGAGCUGUUUCUUACCUCCAAAAUAUGUACUAUUCACAGUGAUGUUUAACUAACAUCCAUCUCUCUGUUAGUCAUAUUCACUUUAUAAAUUUUUAUAUAUGCCUUACCUUGCCAGGUAAAUUUUGAAUACCAACUAUGGAUGAAACAUAUGCUAAGAUGUGUAAGGAUUUAGAAAUAAAUUUCACAUAGAGUCUUGGCUCAUAGUCUCUUAGUUGUGCUUAACUGCCAGUUUUAAGUUUACUAUCCUCUCUGCCUUCCAUCUGAAGACUCCAGGCAUAACCUUUAUCCUUAGUAGAUGAAACUGUUAGUAAUUUUUGGUUACAAGUAAUAGAAACUAAUGCUGGCUAAUUUAGGCAAAAGAAAUGUCUGUAGAAAAAUGGGGAGUUUGCUUAUAAGAUUAAAGAACCAGAUUUGAAAAAAACAGGAAACAUGAAGCCUCAGAGGGUGUUAAUAGAAGGAACUAGUCAACUGUCUUGUCAGGCUCAAGAAUUUUCUAGCAAUAAGGAAACUGUAACUAUUUUACUAUUAUUCUUAGGUUCUAAUUCUAAGAAGGGAGGAUCUGAUUGUCCAAGAUGAAUCACAUGUCUGCCAUGUUGCCCAGGGAUGAUGGACCAUCUUGAUUGAUAGACAUAGCAUACUGUGAGGGGAGAAGUAGCUCAUCAAAAAUUGGGAUAUAUUACUAAAUUAAGUUGGAGUAGAUGCUGGGCAAUCAGAAAAUCAAUAAAUAUACUUUACAGAUAGGCCAGACACUCUCUCCCCUAACUCCUGCCUGUGUUAGGUUAUGAUCUGGGUCACAGAAGGUAUAGGAUAUUGGAAAAAGAUGAUGUUAAAUAAAGGGGUGAGGGAGAGCUGUACCUACCUCUUCUCCUUCCCUUCCCUCAUAGGAGGGGCCCAUCCACUCCCAGAGGAGGAAGCAGUGUCUCCGUACCUUGGAAGAAGGCACUCCUGGGCCUAGAACCACAUGGUCUCUGACACUGAAAAUCCCAUUGCAGUCUGAGACACCUGUUUGGAGUGGUGUACAUUGGAGAGGCAAUAAGCCAAGUAUGCUGGGUCUAACACCACAUCAGAGGGAUUCCUGCUAUUCUGAAGUCAGUCAGGGGGCACUUGGAACUGUCCGUGGUGCUGACCAACACCCCAUAAGCCUGCCCUUCUGCAGAAUGUCUGGCCUCACCACUCAGGACCCAGACAAGAUUGUCUUAGUGGUGACAACUACUCAAAUGGCCCGUACCCAGAUAUGUCCUUGAGGUGACUGUCACUUGUGCCUAUAUCACUUGGGUGAGUAUACCACACUGUCCCCCACCACAACGAACCUGACUACCAUGUAGAGAUAAAGACUGAGCCAGAAAGAAAAUUAUAGUUGUUUACAUUGUCUCAGCAUUAAGAAAAACCUACUGAUGUUUUGAUUCUAGGAUUAAAAACCCAAGUUUUCCAGAAUCAGAGCUAAUGCCUGCUUCAUUUCUCUGUGACUGAGUCUGGGCUCUUUUGGGACUGAACAAAAGCUCUCAGAUGGAUAUAAUCUACUUGAUUGGAUCAAUUAGUUCAAUUAUUUCACAUACAUUUAGUGUGUACUUAUAAUGGAUAAGCCCUUAGAAGAGUGCUGCUGGGUUGCAGACUGAGUUAAGGAUUACAGGAAACAGGGAAUAAGGAUGGACAGUCAAGCUGUGGUCAGCUUCUACUGCUGCAAGAAAAAAGCAUGGGCACAAAAUAAGUAAGGAAACAUAUAUGUUUGAUGUAUAGAGAUUAAAUGUCAAGCCAUGUUUUGCUGGGAUGAGCUAUAACCAAGGGGGAAAUUGUGUAAGCACUAUGAAAAUCAGGACUCACCUGUGGGUUUGUGACAUUUCUUAUAUCAGAAGGGGUCUGGCUAGAGAUAGAAUGAGUGGGCUAUUUGUGAGACAGUAUGGCAAAACAACAGUGUUUAUAAAAAUAUGUUUGACUGAAACUCACAAUAAGAGAUACAUACCACUUUGUGGUGCCUGUGCCCUCCACACCUCUCCUCCACAUUUCUGGGACAAAAGUUUUAUAAAGUAAUGCUUAUGUUUUUAAAGUCUUACUUUGAAAGUGAUGUAUGGGCUGGGUGAGGUGGCUAAUGCCCAUAAUGCCAGCAGCUUGGGAGGCCGAGGUGGGUGGGUCACCUGAAGUCAGGAGUUCAAGACCAGCCUGGCCAACAUGGUGAAACCCUGUUUCUACUAAAAAUACAAAAAUUAGGCAUUGGUAGCACACACCUGUAAUCCCAGCUACUUGGGAGGCUGAGGCAGGAGAAUCACUUGAACCUGGGAGGCAGAGGUUGAGUGAGCCGGGAUUGCACCACUGCACUCCAGCUUGGGUGACAGAGCAAGACUCCAUCUCAAAAAAAAAAGGAUGACUUAUGCUUUUUAAAGAUUAUUUAUAUUACUUGAAAAAGUGACACACUCUGAUAUUUUCUAUUCUGUUCAAUUAUAUUCUAUACCUGCCUUUUCAAUUUCCUGAAAAAAGUGCUGAUUGUAACCCAGUAGACUGCAUUCAGGCCUACUAGUGGGUCACAACACAUACUUUGAGAAAUACUCCAUAAUGACUGGAUAAAGCUUCUGAAAUCUGUUAAUCUAGGUUAAAAUCUUGAGUUUCCUAUUUCCAAAUUUUUCUAAAUAACUAGUGUCUAAAUCAUCUUGGGUUGUCUAGAUCGCUUAAACAACAAAUUUAUUUUCUUGCUCUUCUGGGUGCUGCAAGCCUGAGAUCAGGAGGCCAGCUUGGUCAGGUUCUGGUUCGGUGUUCUGCCUGGCUUGCGAUUGGCUGCUUUAUUGCUGUGUUUUCACGUGACCUGUCCUUGGUGUAUGCAAGUGGAGACAGAUAUAUCUCUCUCUUCAUCUCUCAUAAGAUCACCAAACUUAUCAGACCAUUAGGACUCAUUUAACCUUAAUUUCCUCCUAAAAACUCCAUCUCCAAAUACAGUGGCAUUAAGGGUUAAUGCUUCAACAUGUGAAUCUUUGGGUGAUGGAAUUCAGUCCACAGCACUUAGGUAAGUUGACAUCUCUGCAUCUCAGUUUCUUUCUCAGUAAAGUGAAGGUAAUAAUAUACUAUAUAGCUUGUUUAUUCAUUAACAAUAUUUACAUGUGCCAGGUCCUAGACAAAAGAACAAAACAGUGGAGAGAAAUCCUCACCCUAUAGGACACUCAUGAAUAAUAAAUGAAGUAAUGAUUCUAAAGUGCUGAGCAAAAUGUAGUGCUCAGUACACAUUUGUGGUUGUCAGUGUUAAUCGGUAAGACGCACCUGGUGGAAAUGGAGUCCAUCUCCUUGACGUAGAGGAGGUAUCUCCUGUCAUGUUGCAAGUGAAGCAGUGUUGUUAAUGUGGGUUCAAUCAGCCUAUCCACAUGGCUUGGAUGUGCCCUUCUGUGUAUUCCUCACUCCGCCAUCACAGAGUCAAGCCCAACACUGUGGGGAACUCAGCUGUAUCAAGAUAAACGGCUUGAUUUUCCAUAACUGAGAUGGAUAGGAGUCAUAGGGACUCAUAAUCGAGAUGGAUAGUUAGAAUAAAUGCAGCUCUAAUGCAUCACAUCAGUGCUAUAAUAAAGUUAUGAACAACGAGCUGUGGGAGUACAGAAAAGGGUGGUGAGUUCUGCUUGGGGGUGGAAAAGGCUUCUCAGAAAAGUAAGAUUUGAGCUUUUCCUCUCUUAAUUUUCAGGAAGAACUUAAGGGUGGUGUUUUAAGCAGAGGCAAUAGCACAAAAAUGUUUGCACUUACAUGAUUAGGGUAGGAUGAGAAGCCAGGGUGUCUGGAUCAAGGGGAUGCUGGAGGUUGACAGUAAGUGGGCAGGAGCAGGUAUAGCAAAGGGGACUCCCUGAAGUCUGACUUCUAUCUUAGGAGAUACAGAACAAAUAUUGGGGGUUUUAAACAGGGAAGUGUCUAGCAGUUGGGAGGAAUGGUUAAGUAGGUGGGCAUUCCACUAGGAAGCUGUUACAAUUCAGGGGAGACAUGAUGGCGGUUGUGACAGUUGGUAGUGGGGAGAAAUGGACUCCUGUCAGGCACGUGUGAAGUUGAAUUUAUGGGGGUUAGUGGAAGGUAGAGGAGUCAAGAGGACUUUAAGACCUUUCUCUUUUGUCAUUAAGGGCCGUUAUCUGAAUGGCAGACACAUAUUGAAGCGUGAGUUUGGAGAGAAUAGCGAGUUCAUAAUGGGGAUGAUGAAUUUGAGUUUUCUACCUGGUUUGUGUAAACAAGAACUUGGUAGUAAGAGAGAAAUAACUGCAGAUGUAAUUAUAUUAUGACAUAAUAUUCAGCCCCAAUUAGCUGCUGAGAAACCUGUGAACCCAACUUCCAUGAAAAAUCGUAUGUGAGAAAGUUGAAUUUGAAAACUAAUUUGAAUGUCUGGCUGUAACUGAGUUGAAACUCAGUGACAAACUGGGAGGAUAGAGCCUUACGUGUUGCCUGUUUCUGAUGGUGCACACACUGUUUCUUUAUUUAGAACCUCUUACCAGUAUCAAUUAAACCCAGUUAAAUUUGACAUCUCUUAACCUUACAUUGGAUCAAAUUCACUGCUACAGCAGAACCCAUAUGGCGCAGAGACAGUUGUACGCAUCAGUUCAUUGCUUAUGUAGAGUUGCUGGCCCAGUGCCAACCAGUGAUCACUGCUUUUUGUUAAUAGACAUGUUUGCUUUGCAGUCAUUUCUAUACACAGGGCUCUGGAUUAAUUAGAUAGAAAUCUGUCAUCCAUCUAAGAAACCACAAGAACUCACUUUCUGUGCUUCUGAGGGAAAGGGAACAACAGAUUUUGGCAAGUUUUAAAAAAUGUGUUUGCUUGUUUCCAUAAGAACUUAGCAGACUAUUUAAAUAACCAGUGCAUAAAGAAUUUUUGAUAAUUAAUAAGGAGCAUAGAAUGGAUUGAGGAAUAGAUGAGCCCUCAGAGGAAUUAAGGUGGGAUUUUUCUCAUGAUAUGAAUUAGUUAAUUUUUUUAAGCACUUAAAAAAAUAUUUGUUUCUCUGCAAGUCAACAGGUGAAUUUUGUUUGGGCGUAAAGAUUUACAGAAAGAACUCCUCUGCCAUCAGGUCAAAGGUUUGUUCAAGCUGAAAAAAUAGCCACCGGGUUUCUUUGCACACAGGUUCGAGUGGGCAGAGAAAUGACCUUCUAGGCAGUUCUGCAGCAGAGCUCUGCUGUAACUCUGCCUUUGGGGUCUGUGGCACCAAGCUGCCUCAGGGAGAGACCCCUCCACCUUGAACAACUUCCACUACAUCACUAAUGAAACCCCACUGGACAUGACUUAUGCAAAAUCUUUCCCUGAAGUCAAUGUUUCCAGAUCGAGUUUCUCUUGUGGUAAUACAGAUAUUGCUUAUUGUUUCUUAUAUGGAAGUAUCAAAGAUUUAAACAGUACCCCAAAAUUUCCACCCCAUUUUUAUGGGUACUUUAGCCCAGUGCAUGAUACAUAUUUGUUGAAGGAACCGAAGAUGGAGGUAGAAAGCAGAGGAAUUAAACUCAUGUCUGUGUAAUGACGUUUGGUGUUUUUAUAUUCCUGCAUUCAAAAGGCACCAAUCUGCUAUAUGCAUUUGACCUCUUAGUUAAAAAAAAACAACCCAAUGUGUACCACCCAGGGUUAAACAACGUGACUGAUUAGCCUGUUAUUUGAAUCACCCAGGUUGCUGCAAACAUGAACCUUGCAUUUUUGAAAUUCCUAUUUCUUUUUUAAAUGUUUUAUUUUAUUUUUAGUUGACAAAUAGUAAUUGUUUAUAUUUAAUGGUUACAGUGUGAUAUUUUGAUAUAUGUAUGCAUUGUGCGGUAAUCAAGUCAGGUUAAUUAACGUAUUUCUCACCUCAAGUAUUUAUCAU
Callithrix jacchus (white-tufted-ear marmoset) is the source of this 11339-nucleotide non-coding RNA. Lineage: Eukaryota; Metazoa; Chordata; Mammalia; Primates; Cebidae. The record is from RefSeq and is a predicted model, not a curated record.